CCUGAAGCUAUUCCUCCCAAACCGGAAAGUCCUCCCCCUGAAGUGCCUGAAGUGCUGCCACCGAAGGAAGUGGUCCCAGAAAAGAAAGUACCGGUGCCUCCUGCCAAAAAGCCAGAAGCUCCACCUCCUAAAGUGCCUGAGGCUCCCAAAGAAGUUGUUCCUGAAAAGAAAGUGCCAGUGCCUCCUCCUAAAAAGCCUGAAGUGCCACCCACAAAAGUCCCAGAGGUGCCAAAGGCAGCUGUCCCAGAAAAGAAGGUGCCUGAAGCUAUUCCUCCCAAACCGGAAAGUCCUCCCCCUGAAGUGCCUGAAGUGCUGCCACCGAAGGAAGUGGUCCCAGAAAAGAAAGUACCGGUGCCUCCUGCCAAAAAGCCAGAAGCUCCACCUCCUAAAGUGCCUGAGGCUCCCAAAGAAGUUGUUCCUGAAAAGAAAGUGCCAGUGCCUCCUCCUAAAAAGCCUGAAGUGCCACCCACAAAAGUCCCAGAGGUGCCAAAGGCAGCUGUCCCAGAAAAGAAGGUGCCUGAAGCUAUUCCUCCCAAACCGGAAAGUCCUCCCCCUGAAGUGCCUGAAGUGCUGCCACCGAAGGAAGUGGUCCCAGAAAAGAAAGUACCGGUGCCUCCUGCCAAAAAGCCAGAAGCUCCACCUCCUAAAGUGCCAGAGGCUCCCAUAGAGGUUGUUCCUGAAAAGAAAAUGCCCUUGGCUCCUCCUAAAAAGCCUGAAGUCCCUCCUGUUAAAGUACCAGAGGCUCCCAAAGAGGUUGUUCCUGAAAAGAAAGUGCCCUCGGCUCCUCCUAAAAAGCCUGAAGUCCCACCUGUUAAAGUGCCAGAGGCUCCGAAAGAAGUUGUUCCUG
This 847-nucleotide long non-coding RNA is filed under the name Homo sapiens (human). RNAcentral's name for it is "HSALNT0044057". The record is from RNAcentral. Lineage: Eukaryota; Metazoa; Chordata; Mammalia; Primates; Hominidae.